Molecule: ribosomal RNA, 254 nt
Filed under: uncultured bacterium
Lineage: Bacteria
Description: partial 16S ribosomal RNA
Rfam family: Bacterial small subunit ribosomal RNA
Source: RNAcentral
UACGAAGGGGGCUAGCGUUGCUCGGAAUGACUGGGCGUAAAGCGCACGUAGGCGGCUUUGUAAGUUAGAGGUGAAAGCCCGGGGCUCAACUCCGGAAUUGCCUUUAAAACUGCAUCGCUAGAAUUGUGGAGAGGUAAGUGGAAUUCCGAGUGUAGAGGUGAAAUUCGUAGAUAUUGGGAAGAACACCAGUGGCGAAGGCGGCUCACUGGCCCGGUACUGACGCUGAGGUGCGAAAAGCGUGGGGAGCAAACAGG